UUAGAUCAGAAGCGAGAAUGUUGACAUGAGUAGCGAUAAAGGGGGUGAGAGACCCCCUCGCCGUAAGUCCAAGGGUUCCUGCUUAAAGCUAAUCUGAGCAGGGUAAGCCGGCCCCUAAGGCGAGGCCGAAAGGCGUAGUCGAUGGGAACCAGGUUAAUAUUCCUGGGCCAGGAGGAAGUGACGGAUCUCAAAGUUUGUUCGCCCUUAUCGGAUUGGGCGGGCCGUUCAGAGGUCCCUGGAAAUAGCCCUCCAUGAGACCGUACCCUAAACCGACACAGGUGGACUGGUAGAGUAUACCAAGGCGCUUGAGAGAACCACAUCAAAGGAACUCGGCAAAAUGCCUCCGUAAGUUCGCGAGAAGGAGGCCCCAUCUUUACGCAAGUAGAGGUGGGGGGCACAAACUAGGGGGUGGCGACUGUUUACUUAAAACACAGGGCUCUGCGAAGCCGUAAGGCGACGUAUAGGGUCUGACGCCUGCCCGGUGCUGGAAGGUUAAAAGGAGGGGUGCAAGCUCUGAAUUGAAGCCCCAGUAAACGGCGGCCGUAACAAUAACGGUCCUAAGGUAGCGAAAUUCCUUGUCGGGUAAGUUCCGACCUGCACGAAUGGCGUAACGAUCUCCCCGCUGUCUCUGAUGUGGAUUCAGCGAAAUUUAACUGUGUGUCAAGAUGCACACUACCCGCGGUUAGACGGAAAGACCCCAUGCACCUUUACUAUAGCUUCGCAUUGGCAACAGGAUUGUGAUGUGCAGGAUAGGUGGUAGGCAUCGAAGCGGGGACGCUAGUCUUCGUGGAGCCUCCCUUGAGAUACCACCCUUCGCACUCUUGUUGUCUAACCGCGGUCCGUCAUCCGGAUCCGGGACCCUGCGUGGUGGGUAGUUUGACUGGGGCGGUCGCCUCCCAAAUCGUAACGGAGGCGCGCGAAGGUAGGCUCAGACCGGUCGGAAAUCGGUCGUUGAGUGCAAUGGCAGAAGCCUGCCUGACUGCAAGACUGACAAGUCGAGCAGAGACGAAAGUCGGUCAUAGUGAUCCGGUGGUCCCAAGUGGGAGGGCCAUCGCUCGACGGAUAAAAGGUACGCUGGGGAUAACAGGCUGAUGAUGCCCAAGAGUCCAUAUCGACGGCAUCGUUUGGCACCUCGAUGUCGGCUCAUCUCAUCCUGGGGCUGGAGCAGGUCCCAAGGGUAUGGCUGUUCGCCAUUUAAAGAGGUACGUGAGCUGGGUUUAGAACGUCGUGAGACAGUUCGGUCCCUAUCUGCCGUGGGUGUAGGAGACUUGAGAAGAGUUGCCCCUAGUACGAGAGGACCGGGGUGAACGUUCCACUGGUGGACCAGUUGUCGUGCCAACGGCAGUGCUGGGUAGCUAUGAACGGACAGGAUAACCGCUGAAGGCAUCUAAGCGGGAAGCCCCCUUCAAAACAAGGUCUCCCUUGAGAGCCGUGGAAGACCACCACGUCGAUAGGCCAGAGGUGUAAGUGCGGUAACGCAUUCAGCUGACUGGUACUAAUUGCUUAA
This 1507-nucleotide ribosomal RNA is filed under the name metagenome. RNAcentral's name for it is "bacterial LSU rRNA". It matches the Rfam family "Bacterial large subunit ribosomal RNA", at positions 1277 to 2912 of the family's 2925-position model. The record is from RNAcentral.